This 89-nucleotide unclassified non-coding RNA is filed under the name Pseudomonas fluorescens. The record is from RNAcentral. Lineage: Bacteria; Pseudomonadati; Pseudomonadota; Gammaproteobacteria; Pseudomonadales; Pseudomonadaceae.
UGUGGGAGCGGGCUUGCUCGCGAAUGCGGUGUGUCAGUUGAUGCAUUCGGUACUGAUCCACCGCAUUCGCGAGCAAGCCCGCUCCCACA